UGUUAACGGUGGAUUAUGAUGAUGAAUUUAAAUGAUUAAUAAACAACAUACAGUGUAGACAGUGUAGGGGCAUCAAAGCAAACACCUGUAGGAAAGUCGAGGAAAAGUCGGAGAAAAUUAUAAUAAAAAUGCGUGCUUUCAUACAUUUUUAUGUCCCCUUGUGUAGUUUUUCCUUCUUCCCCGCUUCUUUUUUUACAACUGUCUGUCAGUCAAGGCAAGUUGACGUGGAAAUGGCAAAAAAUGGAAAGAAACGAAGAACCAACUAACUAGUCGCUUCAAGCUUGAGUGAUCGCAGUAAAAAUAGGAGUAGUGGCCAUUAAAGAGAAAGAAAAUGAGAAACGGAGACAAAGAACGGCUCAAGCAAAAGGUUGGCAGCUCCAGCUUUCAAGUUCCACCUGGUAAAACCCCAUCGUAGACCCCCUAGUUUUACCUUUCGGUUAUUCAGUCGCUGCGGAGUUCAUAGUUGAAGGCAAAGGCAAACAAAAAGCGGAAGGAGAACCAUUACAUUACAACUCAGAACUACGAUGAAAAAGUCAAAGGCGGCUCAGUAAAGUAAGAUGCAAGAGAAAUUUACUAUAUAAUAUAUUCCGCUAUUAAAACGAAAGUUAUGUUAUUUAA
RNAcentral lists this small RNA (618 nucleotides) under Drosophila yakuba. RNAcentral describes it as "GE29213". Lineage: Eukaryota; Metazoa; Arthropoda; Insecta; Diptera; Drosophilidae. The record is from RNAcentral.